GAUGAACGCUGGCGGCGUGCCUAAUACAUGCAAGUCGAGCGAACAGACGAGGAGCUUGCUCCUCUGACGUUAGCGGCGGACGGGUGAGUAACACGUGGAUAACCUACCUAUAAGACUGGGAUAACUUCGGGAAACCGGAGCUAAUACCGGAUAAUAUAUUGAACCGCAUGGUUAAAUAGUGAAAGACGGUUUUGCUGUCACUUAUAGAUGGAUCCGCGCCGCAUUAGCUAGUUGGUAAGGUAACGGCUUACCAAGGCGACGAUGCGUAGCCGACCUGAGAGGGUGAUCGGCCACACUGGAACUGAGACACGGUCCAGACUCCUACGGGAGGCAGCAGUAGGGAAUCUUCCGCAAUGGGCGAAAGCCUGACGGAGCAACGCCGCGUGAGUGAUGAGGGUCUUCGGAUCGUAAAACUCUGUUAUUAGGGAAGAACAAAUGUGUAAGUAACUAUGCACGUCUUGACGGUACCUAAUCAGAAAGCCACGGCUAACUACGUG
This 497-nucleotide ribosomal RNA is filed under the name uncultured bacterium. Its description in RNAcentral is "partial 16S ribosomal RNA". It matches the Rfam family "Bacterial small subunit ribosomal RNA", at positions 28 to 507 of the family's 1533-position model. The record is from RNAcentral.